AUUGAACGCUGGCGGCAUGCUUUACACAUGCAAGUCGAACGGUAACGGGCCUUCGGGUGCUGACGAGUGGCGCACGGGUGCGUAAUGCAUCGGAACGUACCCAGAGGUGGGGGAUAACGCAGCGAAAGCUGUGCUAAUACCGCAUGUGAUCUGAGGAUGAAAGCGGGGGACCGAGCAGCAAUGUUUGGCCUCGCGCCUUUGGAGCGGCCGAUGUCGGAUUAGCUAGUUGGUGGGGUAAAGGCCUACCAAGGCGACGAUCCGUAGCUGGUCUGAGAGGACGACCAGCCACACUGGGACUGAGACACGGCCCAGACUCCUACGGGAGGCAGCAGUGGGGAAUUUUGGACAAUGGGCGCAAGCCUGAUCCAGCAAUGCCGCGUGCGGGAAGAAGGCCUUCGGGUUGUAAACCGCUUUUGGCAGGAACGAAACGGUGUCCGCUAAUACCGGGCGCUAAUGACGGUACCUGCAGAAUAAGCACCGGCUAACUACGUG
RNAcentral lists this ribosomal RNA (492 nucleotides) under uncultured bacterium. RNAcentral describes it as "partial 16S ribosomal RNA". It matches the Rfam family "Bacterial small subunit ribosomal RNA", at positions 29 to 507 of the family's 1533-position model. The record is from RNAcentral.